CCCUCGCCGGAUCUAUGUCGUC
RNAcentral lists this non-coding RNA (22 nucleotides) under Arabidopsis thaliana (thale cress). Lineage: Eukaryota; Viridiplantae; Streptophyta; Magnoliopsida; Brassicales; Brassicaceae. The record is from RNAcentral.